Molecule: ribosomal RNA, 253 nt
Filed under: uncultured bacterium
Lineage: Bacteria
Description: partial 16S ribosomal RNA
Rfam family: Bacterial small subunit ribosomal RNA
Source: RNAcentral
UACGUAGGGUGCAAGCGUUAAUCGGAAUUACUGGGCGUAAAGCGUGCGCAGGCGGUGAUGUAAGACAGUUGUGAAAUCCCCGGGCUCAACCUGGGAACUGCAUCUGUGACUGCAUCGCUGGAGUGCGGCAGAGGGGGAUGGAAUUCCGCGUGUAGCAGUGAAAUGCGUAGAUAUGCGGAGGAACACCGAUGGCGAAGGCGAGUCCCUGGACGACUCCUGACACUGAGGCACGAAAGCUAGGGGAGCAAACAGG